GAGUUUGAUCAUGGCUCAGGACGAACGCUGGCGGCGUGCUUAACACAUGCAAGUCGAACGGUGACCUCGGAGCUUGCUCCGGGUGAUCAGUGGCGAACGGGUGAGUAACACGUGAGCAACCUGCCCCCGACUCUGGGAUAACCCCGGGAAAUCGGAGCUAAUACCGGAUACGAGACGCACAGGCAUCUGUUGCGUCUGGAAAGAAUUUCGGUCGGGGAUGGGCUCGCGGCCUAUCAGCUAGUUGGUGGGGUAGUGGCCUACCAAGGCGACGACGGGUAGCCGGCCUGAGAGGGCGACCGGCCACACUGGGACUGAGACACGGCCCAGACUCCUACGGGAGGCAGCAGUGGGGAAUAUUGCACAAUGGGCGCAAGCCUGAUGCAGCGACGCCGCGUGAGGGAUGACGGCCU
RNAcentral lists this ribosomal RNA (410 nucleotides) under uncultured microorganism. RNAcentral describes it as "bacterial SSU rRNA". It matches the Rfam family "Bacterial small subunit ribosomal RNA", at positions 9 to 417 of the family's 1533-position model. The record is from RNAcentral.